This 645-nucleotide ribosomal RNA is filed under the name uncultured bacterium. RNAcentral describes it as "bacterial SSU rRNA". It matches the Rfam family "Bacterial small subunit ribosomal RNA", at positions 41 to 667 of the family's 1533-position model. The record is from RNAcentral.
GGCAGACUUACCAUGCAGUCGAGCGGCAGCGACACAUUGAACCUUCGGGGGAUUUGUUGGGCGGCGAGCGGCGGACGGGUGAGUAAUGCCUGGGAAAUUGCCCUGAUGUGGGGGAUAACCAUUGGAAACGAUGGCUAAUACCGCAUGAUAGCUUCGGCUCAAAGAGGGGGACCUUCGGGCCUCUCGCGUCAGGAUAUGCCCAGGUGGGAUUAGCUAGUUGGUGAGGUAAGGGCUCACCAAGGCGACGAUCCCUAGCUGGUCUGAGAGGAUGAUCAGCCACACUGGAACUGAGACACGGUCCAGACUCCUACGGGAGGCAGCAGUGGGGAAUAUUGCACAAUGGGCGCAAGCCUGAUGCAGCCAUGCCGCGUGUAUGAAGAAGGCCUUCGGGUUGUAAAGUACUUUCAGCAGUGAGGAAGGAGGUAUCGUUAAUAGCGGUAUCUUUUGACGUUAGCUGCAGAAGAAGCACCGGCUAACUCCGUGCCAGCAGCCGCGGUAAUACGGAGGGUGCGAGCGUUAAAUCGGAAUUACUGGGCGUAAAGCGCAUGCAGGUGGUUUGUUAAGUCAGAUGUGAAAGCCCGGGGCUCAACCUCGGAAUUGCAUUUGACACUGGCAGGCUAGAGUAACUGUAGAGGGGGGUAGAAU